AACAAUUAAAUAUUUUUCAUGUCUAUUUUUUGAACAUUAAGCUCCCGUUUGGUUCGGGGUUAAGAAAAAGUAGCUAUUCCAGGGAUAGGGUUAAGUUCAGGAUUAAAUUAGUGUUAAAAUUUUUUUGUGUUUGGUUGGAGGUUGGAGUUAGUAUAGGAUAGUAAAAAAAGUGUUUGGUUGGAGUAGAUGGGAUAAGAAGAUAAUGAUUGAUAAAGAAGAAAAAGGUGAGAGCUCGGGAUGCGUGCGGGGUUAAAGUUGGGAGGGGGAGUGGGAUUAAUGAUUGAUAAAGAAGAAAAAUGUGAGGGCUUGGAAUGCGUGCGGGAUUAAAGUUGUGAGGGGGAGUAGGGUUAGUAAACCCCACUAACCCGGUUUGGGGUGGGGUUAGUAAGGUUUGGGGUGGGGUUUACUAACCCCACCCCAAAAGAGUGGUGUUUGGGUAUAAAUUGGGGGUUAAGGGG
RNAcentral lists this long non-coding RNA (458 nucleotides) under Ananas comosus (pineapple). Its description in RNAcentral is "long non-coding RNA (ACOM_LNC007945)". The record is from RNAcentral. Lineage: Eukaryota; Viridiplantae; Streptophyta; Magnoliopsida; Poales; Bromeliaceae.